Molecule: ribosomal RNA, 279 nt
Filed under: uncultured bacterium
Lineage: Bacteria
Description: partial 16S ribosomal RNA
Rfam family: Bacterial small subunit ribosomal RNA
Source: RNAcentral
UGCCAGCCGCCGCGGUAAUACGUAGGGUGCAAGCGUUAUCCGGAAUCAUUGGGCGUAAAGCGCGUGUAGGCGGUUCGUUAAGUCUGAUGUGAAAGCCCGGGGCUCAACCCCGGAAGUGCAUUGGAAACUGGCGAACUUGGGUACGGGAGAGGAAAGUGGAAUUCCGAGUGUAGGGGUGAAAUCCGUAGAUAUGCACAGGAACACCAAAAGCGAAGGCAGCAUACUGGACCAUUCCUGACACUCAGAGACGAAAGCGUAGGUAGCAAAACGGAUUAGAUA